AUAUUUAAUAGAACUUCAAAAUAACCUCGAUUCAAAGAUCAAUAAUAAAAUUUCAAGAUAACUUCGAUCCAAAGAUCAAUAAUAGAAUUCCAAGAUAAUUUUGAUCUGGAGAUCAAUAAUGGAAUUUCAAGAUAACUUUGAUUCGAAGAUCUGUAUUUGAUAGAAUAUCAAAAUAACUUCGAUCCUGAGGUCGGUAUCUAU
RNAcentral lists this long non-coding RNA (201 nucleotides) under Elaeis guineensis (African oil palm). Its description in RNAcentral is "long non-coding RNA (EGUI_LNC071842)". Lineage: Eukaryota; Viridiplantae; Streptophyta; Magnoliopsida; Arecales; Arecaceae. The record is from RNAcentral.